RNAcentral lists this long non-coding RNA (1412 nucleotides) under Bos indicus x Bos taurus (hybrid cattle). Its description in RNAcentral is "lncRNA (ENSBIXG00005018684.1)". Lineage: Eukaryota; Metazoa; Chordata; Mammalia; Artiodactyla; Bovidae. The record is from RNAcentral.
GCUCACUUUUCACCCUAGAACUGCUGAGGCUCAAAUAUGCCAAUGUUAGCUGUGUCUGGGAGGGGCCUCUGACACGGGAAAAAUUAGCAGGCAUUCCGAAUCACCAGAGGCUCUUCUGUUCCACCCUUUCCUCCUGUUUUUCUUUUCCCUGGACUCAACUUUGCCCUUCCAGACCCACUGACCAGUUUCCCAGGCCCUCUGGAUCCCCACUAAGGUCACCUUUUAAGGGAGGAGAUCUGCCUUUCUUCUAGAUCGCCAAAACUCUUCCAAAGGGGUCUGGAGCCACCAGGGAGACCAAGAGCCUUUCUUUUUGUUGUGUUUCUUUUUGGCACGCCACGGGGCAUGUGGGAUCUUAGUUCCGCCCCAACCAGGGACCUAACCCGUGUCCCCUGCAGUGGAAGCAGAGUCUUAACCACUGGGCCGCCAGGGAAGUCCCCCAAGAGCCUCUCUUGAAUCUCAGUUGCUACAUGUUUAGUAUUCACAGCGUGUCUCUUAAAAAUGUCCUGAGAUCAUUCAUCAGGCACUGUGCUGUGUGCCUGGCUACUCUCCUUUAGGGUGUGUGUGUGUGUGUGUGUGUGUGUGUGUUGUGCAGGACCCUCCCUCCAUCUGCUGGUGAACACAAACACGCACACACACCUUAACCUCCUUCUCUUCUCACCAAACCGACUGCAUGCUCAAAGUGGACCUCUGCCAGCCGGCGGAUCGCGCCCUUCCUGUGGUGGGCUCUCCAGGCUGGGCCUGGGCUCGAAACAGCUCGCACUCCAGUGCUGGGGAGAGGCGCUGCGAGCUGGAGCCGGAGCCGAAACUCAAGUUGUGACCCGAGCCGGCAGCUGUGCCUUUAAGCCGCGUUCCCAUUCGGGGAAACCGACGCCAGCGCUCGAGGGUCGGGAGGCGCUGGAGAGGCCCCUCGUUCCGUACUCCCCUCUUUCCUCCCCCUCCCCUCCCCUCCCCCGCCCCCUCUUCCCUCCCCUCUCGGCCGUCCGGCCGCCUCGCCGCCAUCCGUCACCUCGCCGCCGCCUGCCGCACUCCCGGAGCGAGCGAGACGAGCGAGCCACGGCGAUGGUGCCGCCCGCGGCGCAGCCAUGGAGCCCGCCCGAGGAGCCCGCGCGCGCCGCUGCCAGCCUGCCCGCAGCCCGCCGCCUGCGCGCCAGCUCCCCGCGUCCCGGGCCAGCUGCUGCCGCUCCGCCAACCUUCACCCGCCCCACCGCCCGGCGCCACUGAGCCCCACGCCCGUGCCGGGCUCGGGAACACGGGCGCCCUAGUCCCGCCGCCGUCGCCGCCGCCACCGCCGCCGCGCCGCGGAAGAGCAGGAGGAGGAAGAGGAGGCGGAGGAGGAAGGUAAGAGGCGCGCUGCUUCCAGGGGGGCGCGCCCGCAGUCUCAGACCGGCUGGGGGUGAGUCGCGGCGGGAGCG